AUUGAACGCUGGCGGCAUGCUUUACACAUGCAAGUCGAACGGUAACAGGCCGCAAGGUGCUGACGAGUGGCGAACGGGUGAGUAAUGCAUCGGAACGUGCCCAGUCGUGGGGGAUAACUACUCGAAAGAGUAGCUAAUACCGCAUACGAUCUAUGGAUGAAAGCGGGGGACCGUAAGGCCUCGCGCGAUUGGAGCGGCCGAUGCCAGAUUAGGUAGUUGGUGGGGUAAAGGCUCACCAAGCCAACGAUCUGUAGCUGGUCUGAGAGGACGACCAGCCACACUGGGACUGAGACACGGCCCAGACUCCUACGGGAGGCAGCAGUGGGGAAUUUUGGACAAUGGGCGCAAGCCUGAUCCAGCAAUGCCGCGUGCAGGAAGAAGGCCUUCGGGUUGUAAACUGCUUUUGUACGGAACGAAACGGCUCUGGUUAAUACCCGGGGCUAAUGACGGUACCGUAAGAAUAAGCACCGGCUAACUACGUG
RNAcentral lists this ribosomal RNA (482 nucleotides) under uncultured bacterium. RNAcentral's name for it is "partial 16S ribosomal RNA". It matches the Rfam family "Bacterial small subunit ribosomal RNA", at positions 30 to 507 of the family's 1533-position model. The record is from RNAcentral.